AUCCUCUACUUACAAGAAAAGCUGCUAAACGAAGAAGUUGUUAGUCCGUACCAAAACCGACUCAGGUGGGCAGGGAGAGAAUCCUAAGGCGAUUGAGUGAAACAUUGUUAAGGAACUCGGCAAUAUAACACCGUACCUUCGGUAUAAGGUGUGCCAGCAGUGUGUAGGGGUUUACCCCCGAAGCAUGGUCUGGUUGCAGAGAAGAGAGGGUGGCGACUGUUUACCAAAAACACAGCACUACGCAAAAUCACAAGAUGAUGUAUGUGGUGUGACGCCUGCCCGGUGCUGGAAGGUUAAGAGGAGUGGUUAGUCGCAAGGCGAAGCCUCGAAUUGAAGCCCCAGUAAACGGCGGCCGUAACUAUAACGGUCCUAAGGUAGCGAAAUUCCUUGUCGGGUAAGUUCCGACCUGCACGAAUGGCGUAACGACUGCCCUGCUGUCUCAACAGUGUGCUCAGCGAAUUUGAAAACCGGGUGCAGAUGCCCGGUACCCGCAGCAAGACGGAAAGACCCCGUGUACCUUUACUAUAACUUGACACUGGUAUUCGGGUUGGUUUGUGUAGCAUAGGUGGGAGACUAUGAAGCGAGGACGCUAGUUCUUGUGGAGUCGUCAGUGAAAUACCACCCUGAACAAUCUGGUUAUCUAACCUCGACGCAACAACGUCAGGGACAGUGUCUGGUGGGUAGUUUGACUGGGGCGGUCGCCUCCUAAAGUGUAACGGAGGCGCGCAAAGGUUCCCUCAGACCGGAUGGAAAUCGGUCGUAGAGUGCAAACGCAUAAGGGAGCUUAACUGCGAGAGCGACGGUUCAAGCAGAUACGAAAGUAGGCGUUAGUGACCCGGUGGUUCUGUAUGGAAGGGCCAUCGCUCAACGGAUAAAAGGUACUCCGGGAUAACAGGCUGAUCUCCUCCAAGAGUUCACAUCGACGAGGAGGUUUGGCACCUCGAUGUCGGCUCAUCACAUCCUGGGGCUGAAGCAGGUCCCAAGGGUUUGGCUGUUCGCCAAUUAAAGUGGUACGCGAGCUGGGUUCAGGACGUCGUGAGACAGUUCGGUCCCUAUCUGCUGUGGGCGUAGGAAAUUUGAGGGGAUCUAACCUUAGUACGAGAGGACCGGGUUGGACAUACCUCUGGUGUACCAGUUGUUUUGCCAAAGGCACCGCUGGGUAGCCACGUAUGGAAGGGAUAAGCGCUGAAAGCAUCUAAGUGCGAAACCCAUCCCAAGAUAAGAUUUCCCUGGCAUUCGAAAGAGUGUCCUAAAGAUCUGUUCAAGACCAGGACUUUGAUAGGCUGGACGUGUAAGUGCAGUAAUGCAUUCAGCUGACCAGUACUAAUCGAUCGUGAGGCUCU
RNAcentral lists this ribosomal RNA (1343 nucleotides) under metagenome. RNAcentral's name for it is "bacterial LSU rRNA". It matches the Rfam family "Bacterial large subunit ribosomal RNA", at positions 1597 to 2925 of the family's 2925-position model. The record is from RNAcentral.